RNAcentral lists this long non-coding RNA (257 nucleotides) under Capsicum annuum. Its description in RNAcentral is "long non-coding RNA (CANN_LNC004505)". The record is from RNAcentral. Lineage: Eukaryota; Viridiplantae; Streptophyta; Magnoliopsida; Solanales; Solanaceae.
UCUAUUUCUCCCAAAUCUGAACCCAUUUUUGCCAUCUUUUGUUUCAUGGCAUCAAGUUGAGCCAUGAUGAUUCUACCAACAUCAUUACCAAGGGGUUGUGUACUUGAACCCGUGGGUUCCAUGCUCCUUGUACCUAACAAACAAUCAAAAACCUACAAAACAAACACACAAGUUAGUACAAAAGCCUCACCACACUCACACUCAGAUCUUACCUCUCACUUGGUUUCACAAGUGUUGAAAACUUGGCAAUACUUGGC